Molecule: non-coding RNA, 93 nt
Organism: Bombardia bombarda
Lineage: Eukaryota; Fungi; Ascomycota; Sordariomycetes; Sordariales; Lasiosphaeriaceae
Source: the annotation of a GenBank genome assembly
GGGCGUAUGGUCUAGUGGUAUGAUUUCUGUUUUGCAAUGCCUUUGGCACCUUGCUCUUACAGACGGUCCCGCGUUCGAUCCGCGGUACGUCCA